This 74-nucleotide transfer RNA is filed under the name Neisseriales bacterium. RNAcentral describes it as "tRNA-Thr". It matches the Rfam family "tRNA". Rfam says of the family: Transfer RNA (tRNA) molecules are approximately 80 nucleotides in length. The record is from RNAcentral. Lineage: Bacteria; Pseudomonadati; Pseudomonadota; Betaproteobacteria; Neisseriales.
GCCGCUAUAGUUAAGUGGUAUAACGGUUGAUUCGUAAUCAAUAAUCACUAGUUCGAUUCUAGUUAGCGGCACCA